RNAcentral lists this ribosomal RNA (500 nucleotides) under uncultured bacterium. RNAcentral describes it as "bacterial SSU rRNA". It matches the Rfam family "Bacterial small subunit ribosomal RNA", at positions 8 to 518 of the family's 1533-position model. The record is from RNAcentral.
AGAGUUUGAUCAUGGCUCAGGAUGAACGCUGGCGGCGUGCCUAACACAUGCAAGUCGAGCGGAGAUAAGUUGAAGCCUAGCGAUUCUUAUCUUAGCGGCGGAUGGGUGAGUAACACGUGGGUAACCUGCCCUGCACUGGGGAAUAACAGCUGGAAACGGCUGUUAAUGCCGCAUAUGCGCACGGAGCCGCAUGGCUUUGGGCGGAAAGAUUUAUCGGUGCAGGAUGGGCCCGCGCCGGAUUAACUAGUUGGCGGGGUAACGGCCCACCAAGGUGAUGAUCCGUAGCCGACCUGAGAGGGUGACCGGCCACAUUGGGACUGAGACACGGCCCAAACUCCUACGGGAGGCAGCAGUGGGGGAUAUUGCACAAUGGGGGAAACCCUGAAUGCAGCGACGCCGCGUGAAGGAUGAAGUAUUUCGGUAUGUAAACUUCUAUCAGCGGGGAAGAAGAUGACGGUACCCGACUAAGAAGCCCCGGCUAACUACGUGCCAGCAGCGGC